UGCAGUCGUACGCUUCUUUUUCCACCGGAGCUUGCUCCACCGGAAAAAGAGGAGUGGCGAACGGGUGAGUAACACGUGGGUAACCUGCCCAUCAGAAGGGGAUAACACUUGGAAACAGGUGCUAAUACCGUAUAACAAUCGAAACCGCAUGGUUUUGAUUUGAAAGGCGCUUUCGGGUGUCGCUGAUGGAUGGACCCGCGGUGCAUUAGCUAGUUGGUGAGGUAACGGCUCACCAAGGCCACGAUGCAUAGCCGACCUGAGAGGGUGAUCGGCCACAUUGGGACUGAGACACGGCCCAAACUCCUACGGGAGGCAGCAGUAGGGAAUCUUCGGCAAUGGACGAAAGUCUGACCGAGCAACGCCGCGUGAGUGAAGAAGGUUUUCGGAUCGUAAAACUCUGUUGUUAGAGAAGAAUAAGGAUGAGAGUAACUGUUCAUCCCUUGACGGUAUCUAACCAGAAAGCCACGGCUAACUACGUGCCAGCAGCCGCGGUAAUACGUAGGUGGCAAGCGUUGUCCGGAUUUAUUGGGCGUAAAGCGAGCGCAGGCGGUUUCUUAAGUCUGAUGUGAAAGCCCCCGGCUCAACCGGGGAGGGUCAUUGGAAACUGGGAGACUUGAGUGCAGAAGAGGAGAGUGGAAUUCCAUGUGUAGCGGUGAAAUGCGUAGAUAUAUGGAGGAACACCAGUGGCGAAGGCGGCUCUCUGGUCUGUAACUGACGCUGAGGCUCGAAAGCGUGGGGAGCAAACAGGAUUAGAUACCCUGGUAGUCCACGCCGUAAACGAUGAGUGCUAAGUGUUGGGAGGGUUUCCGCCCUUCAGUGCUGCAGCUAACGCAUUAAGCACUCCGCCCUGGGGAGUACGACCGCAAG
RNAcentral lists this ribosomal RNA (867 nucleotides) under Enterococcus faecium. RNAcentral's name for it is "bacterial SSU rRNA". It matches the Rfam family "Bacterial small subunit ribosomal RNA", at positions 56 to 892 of the family's 1533-position model. The record is from RNAcentral. Lineage: Bacteria; Bacillati; Bacillota; Bacilli; Lactobacillales; Enterococcaceae.